UCUUAGAACAAAGGCUGGGGUCUAUUUGAUUGAAAGCAGAAAGCCCAUUUCUAACUUGCUGAUGCUCUCAAGAUUGGAACUUUUAAAGAAUCCCAUUCUUUGAGAGAGUGAAAUCAUGGGAGUGUUAAUCAUGGCAAAGCUAAGGAUGGCUGGAGGCCUCCAGGAAACAUCUUCCUACUUUAAUCUACUGAGCACUGGGUUGAAAAAGCAAAGCUUAGAUGUGACCCCAAAAGCACAGACAGCAAAAGCAAAAAAAUAGACAAAUGGGGUUGCACUAAACUAAGAAGCUUCUACACAGCCAAGGAAAUAAUUAACAGAGUAAAGAGACAACCUAUGGAAUGGGAGAAAACAUUUGCAAACCAUGUAUCUUUUAAGGGGUUAAUCCCUAAAAUAUACAAAAAAUCCAAACAACUCAACAGUAAGAAAACAAAUAACCCAAUUUAAAAAUGGGCAAAGGACCUGAAUAGACAUUUCUCAAAAGAAGACACAUAAGUGGCCGAAUGAAACACUUCUCAACAUCACUAAUCAUCAAGGAAAUGCAAAUUAAUAUCACAAAGACAUAUGACUUCACACCUGUUAGAAUGGCUGUUAUCAAAAAGACAAAAGAUAGGUCUCACUUUGCCACCCAGGCUGGAGUGUAGUGAUGGGAACACGGCUCACUGCAGCUUCGACCUCACGGGCUCAAGAGAUCCUCCUGUCUCAGUCCCCAAGUAGCUGGGACUACAGGCAUGCACCAUCACACCCGGCCUAACUUCUUCAGAUGUCACUGGUUUACAUGCAUGUGGGUGUGUAGUUCUGUGCAAUUCCUCAUGUGUGCAGAUUCGUGUGACCAUCACAAGUGACAACAGCCAGAACUGCUUCAUGACCACAGGGCAAUGACAUCCCUCAAGUUACCCCUCAGGCUCCAUCCCCAUUCCUAACCCUGAAUAGCCACUCAUGUUCUCCGUCUCUGAUGUUGAUAUUUCAAGCAUGUUAUUUAGAUGGAAUCACACGUUCUCAAAGAACAUUUCUGAGACUGGCUUCUUUCACUCAGCAUGAUUCCCUUGAGAUCCUCCCAAGUUGUCAUGUGCAACAAGAGUCCGUCAUCUUUGCUGCUGAGCAGACCUCCCUGGCAUGGACGGAGCACGGCCGGAGUGGUUUGUUCCACCACUCACCCCUGAAGGAACAUCCAGAUUGUUUCCAGUUUGGGGCUAUCCCCAAGAAAGCUGCCAUGAACAUUCAGGUGCAGGUUUUCAUGUGAACAUAACUUUUCAUUUAUCUAGAAUAAAUGUCCAACGGUGC
RNAcentral lists this long non-coding RNA (1281 nucleotides) under Macaca mulatta (Rhesus monkey). RNAcentral describes it as "lncRNA (ENSMMUG00000060833.1)". Lineage: Eukaryota; Metazoa; Chordata; Mammalia; Primates; Cercopithecidae. The record is from RNAcentral.